GGAUGUGAGGGCAAUCUGGCUACAACAUCUGUUACCCCAUUGAUCACCAUGGUUGACUUGGCUGAUCUGGCUGGCUAGGAAGGUAUCUUCUUGCUCCUCAUUGUUCCAUGUCUGUCCCUCCCAAAGCUGUGUGCUCAAUUGAGGACACUCAUCACCACUGGAAGGAAGACUAUUCUUUAGUCAAGGGUAUAUGAGUAGCUGUGCUCCCCUGCUAGAUUCUCCAAACAAGCUCUCAAUAUGUCAUCCAAGAGAAACUUUCCUGUCUCACUAGAGAGGUAACCAUGCAGACACAAGAAAUUAGAGAACUUCUUGGAGGAUUUACACAAGAAGAUCAUCCAUGAGG
Molecule: small nuclear RNA, 343 nt
Filed under: Carlito syrichta (Philippine tarsier)
Lineage: Eukaryota; Metazoa; Chordata; Mammalia; Primates; Tarsiidae
Description: 7SK RNA (ENSTSYG00000021677.2)
Rfam family: 7SK RNA
About the family: 7SK was discovered as an abundant small nuclear RNA in the mid-70s but a possible function has only recently been suggested. Two independent studies have found that 7SK RNA binds the CDK9/cyclin T complex (known as elongation factor P-TEFb). P-TEFb activates transcription by phosphorylating the C-terminal domain of RNA polymerase II.
Source: Rfam by way of RNAcentral